UGCAUAGCUCAGCUGGUUAGAGCGUGGUGCUGAGAACGCCAAAGUCGUGAGUUCGAUCCCCGUAUGGGACAA
Molecule: non-coding RNA, 72 nt
Organism: Podarcis lilfordi (Lilford's wall lizard)
Lineage: Eukaryota; Metazoa; Chordata; Lepidosauria; Squamata; Lacertidae
Source: the annotation of a GenBank genome assembly